UAGUAGGUGGGGUAACGGCUCACCUAGGCGACGAUCCCUAGCCGGCCUGAGAGGGCGACCGGCCACACUGGGACUGAGACACGGCCCAGACUCCUACGGGAGGCAGCAGUGGGGAAUAUUGCACAAUGGGCGCAAGCCUGAUGCAGCGACGCCGCGUGAGGGAUGACGGCCUUCGGGUUGUAAACCUCUUUCAGUAGGGACGAAGCGCAAGUGACGGUACCUAUAGAAGAAGCACCGGCCAACUACGUGCCAGCAGCCGCGGUAAUACGUAGGGUGCGAGCGUUGUCCGGAAUUACUGGGCGUAAAGAGCUCGUAGGCGGUUUGUCGCGUCGUCCGUGAAAACUUGGGGCUCAACCCCAAGCUUGCGGGCGAUACGGGCAGACUUGAGUACUGCAGGGGAGACUGGAAUUCCUGGUGUAGCGGUGAAAUGCGCAGAUAUCAGGAGGAGCACCGGUGGCGAAGGCGGGUCUCUGGGCAGUAACUGACGCUGAGGAGCGAAAGCGUGGGUAGCGAACAGGAUUAAAUACCCUGGUAGUCCACGCCGUAAACGGUGGGCGCUAGGUGUGGGUUUCCU
Molecule: ribosomal RNA, 574 nt
Filed under: uncultured bacterium
Lineage: Bacteria
Description: bacterial SSU rRNA
Rfam family: Bacterial small subunit ribosomal RNA
Source: RNAcentral